CCUACGGGAGGCAGCAGUGGGGAAUUUUGGACAAUGGGGGCAACCCUGAUCCAGCCAUGCCGCGUGAGUGAAGAAGGCCUUCGGGUUGUAAAGCUCUUUCGGCCGGGAAGAAAUCGCAUAGGCUAAUACCCUGUGUGGAUGACGGUACCGGAAUAAGAAGCACCGGCUAACUACGUGCCAGCAGCCGCGGUAAUACGUAGGGUGCGAGCGUUAAUCGGAAUUACUGGGCGUAAAGCGUGCGCAGGCGGUUUCGUAAGACAGAGGUGAAAUCCCCGGGCUCAACCUGGGAACUGCCUUUGUGACUGCGAGGCUAGAGUACGGCAGAGGGGGGUGGAAUUCCACGUGUAGCAGUGAAAUGCGUAGAGAUGUGGAGGAACACCGAUGGCGAAGGCAGCCCCCUGGGCCGAUACUGACGCUCAUGCACGAAAGCGUGGGUAGCAAACAGGAUUAGAUACCCUGGUAGUCCACGCCCUAAACGAUGUCAACUAGGUGUUGGGUGGGUAAAACCAUUUAGUACCGUAGCUAACGCGUGAAGUUGACCGCCUGGGGAGUACGGCCGCAAGGUUUAAAACUCAAAGUAAGUAGUUAGAGUGNGAGAGCGACGAGACGACGACGGAGGAGGAG
This 624-nucleotide ribosomal RNA is filed under the name uncultured bacterium. RNAcentral's name for it is "bacterial SSU rRNA". It matches the Rfam family "Bacterial small subunit ribosomal RNA", at positions 338 to 1331 of the family's 1533-position model. The record is from RNAcentral.